Molecule: ribosomal RNA, 210 nt
Filed under: uncultured bacterium
Lineage: Bacteria
Description: partial 16S ribosomal RNA
Rfam family: Bacterial small subunit ribosomal RNA
Source: RNAcentral
CCUGGUAGCGGGGGAUAACUAUUGGAAACGAUAGCUAAUACCGCAUGAGAGUAGAUGUUGCAUGACAUUUGCUUAAAAGGUGCAAUUGCAUCACUACCAGAUGGACCUGCGUUGUAUUAGCUAGUUGGUGGGGUAACGGCUCACCAAGGCGACGAUACAUAGCCGACCUGAGAGGGUGAUCGGCCACACUGGGACUGAGACACGGCCCAG